GACGAACGCUGGCGGCGUGCUUAACACAUGCAAGUCGAACGAAGAGCGAUGGAAGCUUGCUUCUAUCAAUCUUAGUGGCGAACGGGUGAGUAACGCGUAAUCAACCUGCCCUUCAGAGGGGGACAACAGUUGGAAACGACUGCUAAUACCGCAUACGAUCUAACCUCGGCAUCGAGGAUAGAUGAAAGGUGGCCUCUACAUGUAAGCUAUCACUGAAGGAGGGGAUUGCGUCUGAUUAGCUAGUUGGAGGGGUAACGGCCCACCAAGGCGAUGAUCAGUAGCCGGUCUGAGAGGAUGAACGGCCACAUUGGGACUGAGGCACGGCCCAGACUCCUACGGGAGGCAGCAGUGGGGAAUCUUCCGCAAUGGACGAAAGUCUGACGGAGCAACGCCGCGUGAGUGAUGACGGCCUUCGGGGUUGUAAAAGCUCUGUUAAAUCGGGACGAAAAGGCCUUUCUUUGCG
This 463-nucleotide ribosomal RNA is filed under the name Veillonella parvula. Its description in RNAcentral is "bacterial SSU rRNA". It matches the Rfam family "Bacterial small subunit ribosomal RNA", at positions 28 to 465 of the family's 1533-position model. Lineage: Bacteria; Bacillati; Bacillota; Negativicutes; Veillonellales; Veillonellaceae. The record is from RNAcentral.